AGUGAACGCUGGCGGUAGGCCUAACACAUGCAAGUCGAACGGCAGCACAGUAAGAGCUUGCUCUUACGGGUGGCGAGUGGCGGACGGGUGAGGAAUACAUCGGAAUCUACUUUUUCGUGGGGGAUAACGUAGGGAAACUUACGCUAAUACCGCAUACGACCUACGGGUGAAAGCAGGGGAUCUUCGGACCUUGCGCGAUUGAAUGAGCCGAUGUCGGAUUAGCUAGUUGGCGGGGUAAAGGCCCACCAAGGCGACGAUCCGUAGCUGGUCUGAGAGGAUGGACCGGCACACCGGAACUGAGACACGGUCCAGACUCCUACGGGAGGCAGCAGUGGGGAAUAUUGGACAAUGGGCGCAAGCCUGAUCCAGCCAUACCGCGUGGGUGAAGAAGGCCUUCGGGUUGUAAAGCCCUUUUGUUGGGAAAGAAAAGCAGCAGGUUAAUACCCCGCUGUUCUGACGGUACCCAAAGAAUAAGCACCGGCUAACUUCGUG
RNAcentral lists this ribosomal RNA (492 nucleotides) under uncultured bacterium. RNAcentral's name for it is "partial 16S ribosomal RNA". It matches the Rfam family "Bacterial small subunit ribosomal RNA", at positions 29 to 507 of the family's 1533-position model. The record is from RNAcentral.